This 378-nucleotide ribosomal RNA is filed under the name Streptococcus dysgalactiae subsp. equisimilis. RNAcentral describes it as "bacterial SSU rRNA". It matches the Rfam family "Bacterial small subunit ribosomal RNA", at positions 1 to 367 of the family's 1533-position model. Lineage: Bacteria; Bacillati; Bacillota; Bacilli; Lactobacillales; Streptococcaceae. The record is from RNAcentral.
AUCUUAAUGAGAGUUUGAUCCUGGCUCAGGACGAACGCUGGCGGCGUGCCUAAUACAUGCAAGUAGAACGCUGAGGACUGGUGCUUGCACCGGUCCAAGGAGUUGCGAACGGGUGAGUAACGCGUAGGUAACCUACCUCAUAGCGGGGGAUAACUAUUGGAAACGAUAGCUAAUACCGCAUAAAAGUGUUUAACCCAUGUUAAACAUUUAAAAGGUGCAAUUGCAUCACUAUGAGAUGGACCUGCGUUGUAUUAGCUAGUUGGUGAGAUAACGGCUCACCAAGGCGACGAUACAUAGCCGACCUGAGAGGGUGAUCGGCCACACUGGGACUGAGACACGGCCCAGACUCCUACGGGAGGCAGCAGUAGGGAAUCUUCG